UACGUAGGGUGCGAGCGUUGUCCGGAAUUAUUGGGCGUAAAGAGCUCGUAGGCGGUGUGUCACGUCGGCCGUGAAAACCUGCAGCUUAACUGUGGGCGUGCGGUCGAUACGGGCAUCACUGGAGUUCGGCAGGGGAGACUGGAAUUCCUGGUGUAGCGGUGAAAUGCGCAGAUAUCUGGAGGAACACCGGUGGCGAAGGCGGCAUCCUGGACCAAUUCUGACGCUGAGUGAGCGAAAGCCAGGGGAGCAAACGGG
Molecule: ribosomal RNA, 255 nt
Filed under: uncultured bacterium
Lineage: Bacteria
Description: partial 16S ribosomal RNA
Rfam family: Bacterial small subunit ribosomal RNA
Source: RNAcentral